CUACGGGCUGCUGCAGUGGGGAAUAUUGCACAAUGGGCGAAAGCCUGAUGCAGCAACGCCGCGUGAGGGACGACGGCCUUCGGGUUGUAAACCUCUUUUAGCAGGGAAGAAGCGAAAGUGACGGUACCUGCAGAAAAAGCACCGGCUAACUACGUGCCAGCAGCCGCGGUAAUACGUAGGGUGCAAGCGUUGUCCGGAAUUAUUGGGCGUAAAGAGCUCGUAGGCGGUUUGUCGCGUCUGCUGUGAAAAUCCGAGGCUCAACCUCGGACCUGCAGUGGGUACGGGCAAACUAGAGUGCGGUAGGGGAGAUUGGAAUUCCUGGUGUAGCGGUGGAAUGCGCAGAUAUCAGGAGGAACACCAAUGGCGAAGGCAGAUCUCUGGGCCAUAACUGACGCUGAGGAGCGAAAGCGUGGGGAGCGAACAGGAUUAGAUACCCGUGUAGUC
Molecule: ribosomal RNA, 444 nt
Filed under: uncultured bacterium
Lineage: Bacteria
Description: partial 16S ribosomal RNA
Rfam family: Bacterial small subunit ribosomal RNA
Source: RNAcentral